Molecule: long non-coding RNA, 1848 nt
Filed under: Homo sapiens (human)
Lineage: Eukaryota; Metazoa; Chordata; Mammalia; Primates; Hominidae
Description: HSALNT0399499
Source: RNAcentral
UUGUGAGGUAAUUAGGUUUAGAUUAGGUCAUCAGAGGGGGACCCUCAUGAUGGAGUUAGAGCCCUUGUAAAAAGAGGAAGACGAAUCUUUCUCUCUCUCUCUCAUUCUCUUUCUCCCUCAUACACAAACAAAAGGAAGGUCAGUUGAACACACAGCAAGAAGGCAGCUGCAAGUCAGAAAGCAGGUCCUCACCAGGAACCAAAUCUGUUGGCACUUUCAUCUUAGACUUCCCAGCCUCUGGAAUGCAUUCUGCAGGGAUAAGAGAAAAGUGAAGUAUGAAGUUUUCUUGGUGUUAGUGACCCUAAGCAGCUCCAAAACAGGAUUCACUGACCUUUAGGCAUAGUUUUCACAAGGGAAGUCAGCAGGUUCACAUCCAAGAGAUUUUGGUGGCUAUUCAUUACAGUCUAGAAGAGCCAUGCUGUCUUUGCAUACAGAGACUAGCAGGUGCCUGAUGCAAAGCAAUGCCCCUUGGGAGUCAAGCUUCACCAAGGACUUCCAUGCUUGUUUGGAUGGCUGGAUCUCGACAUUGCCAAGUUGUGUAUCCUCCCCUCCUCUGCUUUUCUUUCCUUUCUAUCCAGUCUAUGAUAGAUGUACCACUCUAACCUCACUCCCCCAUCACUCAUACGUCUUACUUCCUAUCUUUCAUGUAUUGAAUUUGUGAAGAUCUGCUUGAGCCAUCAAGUAAUAGCAUCACCUAGGUCCUUCAGGGCUUCCUACCUUUUCAAAGAGCUUGCAGAGGGCAGCUGUCAGUCUUGACCCACCAAUGAGAAAAUACUCACACCCAGAUUCCUAAGUCCAUGGCAAAAAAUAUCUUUCAUCCACGGGCAUUCCUAAUUCCAGUGGCCUUUAGAGCAGCAAACCAGUGAUGUCACCACAAACUUCACCAUCAAAAAAUCUGUUCCAAUUCUGAAGGCUUUUUGGGGAGAGGGACCUAGGAAUGUGUCUCACUCGCAACUAUGUAAUCUGAGUUGUAGGAAAAUUCCCUUUUCUAUUAUCUUAACCAUAGCAGAUGCCUCCUAAAAGGGGCACAUGCCCUUCUAAUAACCAGCAGGAAGAAAAUAUAGGAACCACUUUGAACAGCAUAUACAGUUUCUUUGUAAUCUGACCCUCAUCCAACCAUGCCUCAGCUGCAGUCACUCCUUGCCUUAUACUUCAUUCUCCAACAACUCAAAGUCUCUGAUAGAUUCUGGAAGCUCUGGCAGGUCUUCAUGCUUUUGACCAUGUUGUUUCCCCUGCUUUGAAAGACCUCUCCUGCUCUUAUCCGCCUGGCAAACUCCUCUCUGUGCACCAAGCCUCAGCUCCAAGGCUACUUUCCUUACUCUCCCUAGCAGAUAUAAAGCUUUUCUCCUUGAGGACUGCACCGUUCUUGGCCUAACCAUCAUCACUGUUGUUGCUUGAAUGUUUGUGUUCCCCCCAAAUUCCUAUGUUGAAACUUAACUCCCACUGUGAUCGUAUUAAGAGGUAGGGCCUUUGGGAGGCGAUUAAGUCAUGAGGACAUCCCCUCACAAAUGAGGUUAGUGUCCUUACAAAACAGACUUGAGGGAGCCUGUUUGUCCCUUUGCACUUCUGACAAGUGCAGACACAGUUUAAAAGCACUCAUCUAUGAGAACAGACCACUACCAGACACUGACUCUGCUGGUGCCCUUGAUCUUGGACUUCCCAGCUUCUAGAACUCUGUGUCAGGGAAAAUGUACUCAUUCUCAACUAAUUCUCCACUAAAUGUACUAAGUCAGGAAUUGAAGUGAGUUGGCCUGCCUGUUAAUACUUUGCACCUAAAACAAUGACAGUAAAUCUCUGGCAACAGGCUUGAGCCUCAGUUCCUCAGGCUUCUAACCCACCAUCCUCAUG